RNAcentral lists this ribosomal RNA (491 nucleotides) under uncultured bacterium. RNAcentral's name for it is "partial 16S ribosomal RNA". It matches the Rfam family "Bacterial small subunit ribosomal RNA", at positions 28 to 507 of the family's 1533-position model. The record is from RNAcentral.
GAUGAACGCUGGCUACAGGCUUAACACAUGCAAGUCGAGGGGAAACGACGGGGAAGCUUGCUUCCCCGGGCGUCGACCGGCGCACGGGUGAGUAACGCGUAUCCAACCUGCCUCUGACUGAGGGAUAACCCGUCGAAAGUCGGCCUAAUACCUCAUGGCAUCGUCUGCGGGCAUCCAACGACGAUUAAAGAUUUCAUCGGUCAGGGAUGGGGAUGCGUCUGAUUAGCUAGUUGGCGGGGUAACGGCCCACCAAGGCGACGAUCAGUAGGGGUUUUCGGAGGAAGGUCCCCCACGUGGGAACAUGGACACGGUCAAAACUCCUACGGGAGGCAGCAGUGAGGAAUAGUGAUCAAUGGGCGAGAGCCUGAACCAGCCAAGUAGCGUGCAGGAUGACGGCCCUAUGGGUUGUAAACUGCUUUUAGGCGGGGAUAAAGUGAGGGACGUGUCCUUCAUUGCAGGUACCGCAUGAAUAAGGACCGGCUAAUUCCGUG